CAAGCCUCUACACCAAUUUGUCUCGUAGAUACAAUCUCUCUCUCUCUCUUCACUUUCUCUCUCUAAAGAUGGAGUCUUUUAGCAUAUCUAAGAAGCUGGUUGUUCAUCUCUCUAUCUAAUUUCAACAUGAAAUGUAUCUAGCAGGUUUACUAGUUAUUACGGUGGUGAUGAUGGCAUCACAUGAGGCUUGCCAUAUAUCUGAUAUCGAGGAUUGUCCUCUUGACGACAACACACCACCAUCCAAAUUAUGUUGUGGUGAAUUACGUCUAGCAUGCUUUUGUUACUAUUACGAUAUGUAUCAUCAAUAUGUAACGAGAAUCUAUGAUGCUUGUAAGAAAGAUAUCGGGGGUAUAGGUUGUGAAUAGUUGUGUAACAGUUUCCAUAUGUAUUAACUAAAAAAUAACAUAUACAUUAACUAAUUUCCUUUA
Molecule: long non-coding RNA, 428 nt
Organism: Helianthus annuus (common sunflower)
Lineage: Eukaryota; Viridiplantae; Streptophyta; Magnoliopsida; Asterales; Asteraceae
Exons: 2
Source: RefSeq, a predicted model, not a curated record